UCCGGCUUAUCACCGGCAGUCUGCUCAGGGUUCCAAACUAAAUGUUGGCAACUAAACACGAGGGUUGCGCUCGUUGCGGGACUUAACCCAACACCUUACGGCACGAGCUGACGACAGCCAUGCACCACCUGUGCAGGAUCCCUUGCGGACCCGACAUCUCUGCCGGAUUACCCUGCAUGUCAAGCCUUGGUAAGGUUCUUCGCGUUGCAUCGAAUUAAUCCGCAUGCUCCGCCGCUUGUGCGGGGCCCCGUCAAUUCCUUUGAGUUUUAGCCUUGCGGCCGUACUCCCCAGGCGGGGCGCUUAAUGCGUUAGCUGCGGCACGGACCUCGUGGAAUGAGGCCCACACCUAGCGCCCAACGUUUACGGCGUGGACUAC
This 376-nucleotide unclassified non-coding RNA is filed under the name uncultured Actinomycetes bacterium. Its description in RNAcentral is "uncultured actinobacterium contains 16S-23S intergenic spacer region". Lineage: Bacteria; Bacillati; Actinomycetota; Actinomycetes. The record is from RNAcentral.